GACAACAUUCCACAUGUCAAGUCAACAGCCUGAUCAACUCUAUGUGAAGGAGAUGUGUCGUGCUGCAUGAGGCAAGUGGUGGUCACACCAGAUACUGACUGGUUUUCUGAUCCACACUCCAACCUUUUUGUUGGUAAGGGCGUUUGUGACCAACAGAUGCAUAUCUGUAUUCCCAGUCAUGUGAAAUCCAUAGAUCAGGUCCUAAGUAAUUUAUUUCAAUGACCGAUUACCUCAUGAACUGUAACUCAGUCAAAUCUUUGCAUGUUUGGUUUAUUUAUUUUUCAGUGUAUAUUAAAAAAUAAAAGCCAUCUGCCUACAAGUAUCGUGACUACACAACUGACUACUAAGACUAUAUAUUAGGUCUGGGACAAUACCAGUAUCCCAAUACUUGUUUAGUAUCAUGACUACACAACUGAGACUAUAUAUUAGGUCUGGGACAAUACCAGUAUCCCGAUACUUGUUUAGUAUCGUGAC
Molecule: long non-coding RNA, 474 nt
Organism: Oncorhynchus tshawytscha (Chinook salmon)
Lineage: Eukaryota; Metazoa; Chordata; Actinopteri; Salmoniformes; Salmonidae
Exons: 2
Source: RefSeq, a predicted model, not a curated record